Long non-coding RNA from Halichondria panicea, 2112 nucleotides. RefSeq lists it as uncharacterized. The record is from RefSeq and is a predicted model, not a curated record. Lineage: Eukaryota; Metazoa; Porifera; Demospongiae; Suberitida; Halichondriidae. The transcript is spliced from 8 exons.
CUCGACACUGCUCAAUAAUAAUUAUAAGGCUGCACACAUUUAUAUCCUCACAUAAAUACAGUACAUGUACUGAAACUGUAACAUGCUCAAAAAUAACUGUCAGUCCAACACAUACAAUUCAAGGACUGCUUUCAUUAUAACAUAAUUACGGCAAUAGAACUUGCAAUAAACAUAACAAGUCUACUAAUACAAGCAAUUCCUGGACACUCUUUUGAUCUGUUAACAACUACUAGCAGUAACUUAGCUGGAUUUAUGUGUGGUUGUUCGAAUGGUAAUGUUCGAUUCAGAGACCAACCACUUGAAAUGGAUGACUCAGUAAAAGGAGUAGUGCAGUUUUGUGGCAAUGGAGAGUGGAAAACUUUGUGUGCCAGUAGUAAUUGGUUAACAACAUUUUCAUCCAAUGCUGCUCCAUAUGUGGUUUGUCGACAACUAGGCUAUUCUGAAAGAGGAGCUACAAGGGGAUUCAAUCUGUUCAUCUCUACCAACAUCACCUCAUUUCAGAUAUGAACACUCUAAUAUUGAUUGCAAUCCUCCUUGUUGCUUCGAAAGCUGUUCAAGGCUGCAUCAAUGGAAACGUACAGAGACUAGAUGAUGGUAGAGUCAAUGUUUGCUUUGGUCAAGAAUGGAAAACUGCAUGUGUGUGAGAAAGGCUACCAAUGGUGUGCUUAUCAAGCUAACAUUGCAUGCAGACUGCUGGGCUACAAUAAUAAUGGGGCAAGUGUGGAACGAUCAUGCUUUGUCUCAACCGGUUUGAAUUACAUUGAUGUUAGUAAGUGUAGUGGAACAGAGAAUACUUUUGAAGAAUGUGGAAUCAACCAAAGAGAUUUUGGUGAUUGUAGAGAUGGUGGCUGCAGUGGUACCGAGAAAAGUCAUCCUGAAAUAAUGUGUCUAUUAGCCGACUGCACUAAUGAAACCAUAAGACUGGUGGGUGGGUCCAACAUAAGAGAGGGACGAGUGGAGGUGUGUGUGGGCGGUCGCUGGGGAACUGUUCAAAACAAUAAUUCCCAACUGGUAGAAUUUGUUUGCUCUACACUGGGUUUCCCAACUGAGGGUUCAGAAGCAGUCACUACUUUUGGCCAUAGAACAGCUCUGACAAGAAGCUGUGUAAUAAUAAAUAGUGCCCUCCACUGCGUAGACAUUACAGACCAGUCUGUUGAUUCCAUGGAUCUUGGUGUUGUGUGCAAGACAUACCAAGAUGUUAUUGGUUCAGUUAUUAAUAGGACAAUCGAUCAAACCCUUCAGACGUGUCCUGAACCAACUACCACCAGCGUAACAGCCAGCCAACAGCCAGCCAAUCAUGACCGGUGGAACAAAUCACCCAACCACUAACAGCCAGCCAGCCACCACCAGUGAAGUAGACCAAUCCACAUUAGCUAAAGAAAUGGGCGGAAGUUGUCCUGUUGCAGCCUUAGGAGGAUUGAUUGGUCUUCUGGUUGGUCGUGCUCCUAGGACUUGCUAUUGGAUUGACUGUAACUUGUUGUGUGUUGUGGAAACGCAGGUCACAGAAACAGCAAGCUGAGUGAGUUCACUGAGGGUGCAACAUUUCUCAAAGGCAAGAGCUCUCAACAAUUCAACGACAACUAAACAACCCAGUAUACGAUACAAGCAUGAAACCACACAAUGCAUACAGCUCCAGUGGACCUACCUACGAACAAGUUGCCAAUGGCAAUAAACAAGACCACACCUACUCAAUACUUGAGCGCGAUAAGAACACGAAUUGUCGCUCAAAUCAGCUCAAUGCUAUAGACGAGGAGCAGAACUACCAUGUGGUGGAGAGUGGAAGGUGCGAGGGUGUGGAGGGGGCGGGCUGUGACAGUGUGUACAGUGAAGCUAGUAACUACGAAGUGCCAAUGUCAAGCAAAACGGACAGCAAGGUGUGGCUGUGUGAAGAGGAUUACUCCACACUCAAGCAUUGAGAAAACUGUAUAUUGUGUAUUAUAUUUUAUACUGCAUCAUGUGACUCAAAACUUCGGUCUUAUAGAGACCUUGCAAUUCUUGUGCAUUUUCAUUUAUAAUUUUAGUAAUCAGUUAGAUUCUCUUGAUCACGUGUCUCAGUGAUUUAAGGUAGCUACUAAUGUGAGCUGCUUGUUGUUGGAGUGAUCGAUGUACUGU